UCCAAUUGUCUCAUGUGUAUAGGG
This 24-nucleotide non-coding RNA is filed under the name Arabidopsis thaliana (thale cress). Lineage: Eukaryota; Viridiplantae; Streptophyta; Magnoliopsida; Brassicales; Brassicaceae. The record is from RNAcentral.